This 190-nucleotide small nuclear RNA is filed under the name Erinaceus europaeus (western European hedgehog). RNAcentral describes it as "7SK RNA". It matches the Rfam family "7SK RNA". Rfam says of the family: 7SK was discovered as an abundant small nuclear RNA in the mid-70s but a possible function has only recently been suggested. Two independent studies have found that 7SK RNA binds the CDK9/cyclin T complex (known as elongation factor P-TEFb). P-TEFb activates transcription by phosphorylating the C-terminal domain of RNA polymerase II. The record is from Rfam by way of RNAcentral. Lineage: Eukaryota; Metazoa; Chordata; Mammalia; Eulipotyphla; Erinaceidae.
GGAUGUGAGGGCAAUCUGGUUGUGACACCUGUCACCCCACUGAUGGCCAGGGUUGAUUCGGCUGAUCUGGCUGGCCAGGCAGGUAUCCCCUUCCUCCCUCACUGCUCCAUGUGCUUCCCUCCCAAAGCUUUGCGCUCGGUUGAAGAGGACGGUCUUCCCUGAAUAGAGAUGGAAGUCUUUGAUCCGGGAC